Molecule: ribosomal RNA, 468 nt
Filed under: uncultured bacterium
Lineage: Bacteria
Description: partial 16S ribosomal RNA
Rfam family: Bacterial small subunit ribosomal RNA
Source: RNAcentral
GACGAACGCUGGCGGCGUGCCUAACACAUGCAAGUCGAACGGACAGGCCCUGCUCUUGCGGGGUGCUCGAGUGGCGAACGGGUGAGUAACACGCGUGUAUCCUGCCCUUGUCUUUGGGAUAACUUCAGGAAACUGGGGCUCUUACCGGAUAGGAGCUCCUGCUGCACGGUGGGGGUUGGAAAGUUUCGGUGGUUGGGGAUGGACUCGCGGCUUAUCAGCUUGUUGGUGGGGUAGUGGCUUACCAAGGCUUUGACGGGUAGCCGGCCUGAGAGGGUGACCGGCCACAUUGGGACUGAGAUACGGCCCAGACUCCUACGGGAGGCAGCAGUGGGGAAUAUUGCACAAUGGGCGGAAGCCUGAUGCAGCAACGCCGCGUGCGGGAUGACGGCCUUCGGGUUGUAAACCGCUUUCGCCUGUGACGAAGCGAGAGUGACGGUAAUGGGUAAAGAAGCACCGGCUAACUACGUG